This is a non-coding RNA of Schizosaccharomyces pombe (fission yeast), 440 nucleotides long. Lineage: Eukaryota; Fungi; Ascomycota; Schizosaccharomycetes; Schizosaccharomycetales; Schizosaccharomycetaceae. The record is from the annotation of a GenBank genome assembly.
GCAUCCAUACAUUUUUUUACCGAAUAUGUAAACUUUUUUUUUUUGUUUUCUACUAAACAACUCUGCGUUCAAAACGAUAAUAGACUGCAACUAUUCAUUAACCCUACUCUUCUUUAGAAACACUCUUUUUCUUGUAUUCACUUGUAAUAUUCGUAACACAUCUUUCAUGCGCAAAAGCUUAGCAGACGCUGGUAAUUUGGACAAUUGGUAAACUUCGUCGAAUCACCAAUUAUCAGAAGCAUCAUUAUCGUACUUGAUUAUUUUUAUUAUUUGUCAAUCUGUGUAGGGUGCACAAUAAGAAUAAUAUUUACCGAAAACCAUCACUAUCCUUCAAAGAACGCAAUUGCAAUGUUCCGUUUUUAGGAACUUUAAACGGUGUUAAAUCUUGUUUAAAGCGGGAAUUAAUUCAUUUUUUAGAAUACGAGAAAUUUCAUAAGAAU